CUAUUUUUCAAUUUCUUCCACUUACUUGAUUAUCAAUCCUGAUUCCUUAAUUUUAUAAACUUUAUCAAAAUUUAAUUAGGUUUUUGCCUGAAUACAUUUUUGAAAACAUGUGAAUGGGACUUCAGGAUAGUUACUAUAUAUACUUACAGAUUUCAGAGCUAAAUGAUUCUGAUUUGAGUUCCAAACACCACCUAAAUAUUAACAAAAACUCGCACAACAACUAAGUCUUCUCAAGUCAGCGAUAAACCUAAUUCAUGCAAUCAUAUUGCAUGUCUAUCUCGUUUCUAUAGCUAUUCUAGUUACUAAAAUGAUCAUUCAAUUUAACUUUUCUUUAUUUUGUCUAUUUGAUUAAUUACAUAAUUUAGUAAAUAAUACUUUCUUAUCAUUUUAUAUUAAUCUUGCUUUAAUUAAUUAAUAAUUUCUUUUUAAUUUAUUUUAUCUAUUAUUCAUUCCAUCCUAAAAAAAAUAUUCUUUUUCUAUUUUCUUAAUUCAUUUUCUUAUAUCAUUUAUUAUAUUCAAAACAAAAU
This 527-nucleotide long non-coding RNA is filed under the name Carica papaya (papaya). Its description in RNAcentral is "long non-coding RNA (CPAP_LNC001285)". The record is from RNAcentral. Lineage: Eukaryota; Viridiplantae; Streptophyta; Magnoliopsida; Brassicales; Caricaceae.